GACGAACGCUGGCGGCGUGCCUAAUACAUGCGAGUCGAGCGGACUUUCCGGAGUGCUUGCACUCCGGCAGGUUAGCGGCGGACGGGUGAGUAGCACGUAGGCAACCUGUCCAUUAGACCGGGAUACCAUUAGGAAACGAAAGCUAAUACCGGAUAGACGGACUUCUUGGAUGGGGGGAUCGGGAAAGGCGGAGCGAUGUGCCGCUCAUGGAUGAGCCUGCGGCGCAUGAGCUAGUUGGUGGGGUAACGGCCUACCAAGGCGACGAUGCGGAGGCGACCUGGGAGGGUGAUCGCCGACACUGGGGCUGAGACACCGACCAGACUCCUGAGGGAGGCAGCAGUAGGGAACCUUACGCAAUGGUCGCAAGUAUGACGGAGCAACGGCGCGUGAGUGACGGCGGCCUUGGGGUCGUAAAGCUCUGUUGCCAGGGAAGAACGGGUUGGGGAGGAACUGAACCUGGCGUGACGGUAACUGAGAAGGAAGCCCCGGCUAACUACGUG
RNAcentral lists this ribosomal RNA (500 nucleotides) under uncultured bacterium. RNAcentral describes it as "partial 16S ribosomal RNA". It matches the Rfam family "Bacterial small subunit ribosomal RNA", at positions 28 to 507 of the family's 1533-position model. The record is from RNAcentral.